Molecule: ribosomal RNA, 1498 nt
Filed under: metagenome
Description: bacterial SSU rRNA
Rfam family: Bacterial small subunit ribosomal RNA
Source: RNAcentral
AGAGUUUGAUCCUGGCUCAGAACGAACGCUGGCGGCGUGCUUAACACAUGCAAGUCGAACGCGAAAAUCUCUUCGGAGGUGAGUAGAGUGGCGCACGGGUGAGUAAUACAUAGGAACGUGCCUAACGGUGGGGAAUAACCACGGGAAACCGUGGCUAAUACCGCAUGAUAUCGCAAGAUCAAAGGGGGCCUAUCCUUGGAAGUUCCCGCCAUUAGAGCGGCCUAUGUCCUAUUAGCUAGUUGGUAGGGUAAUAGCCUACCAAGGCAAUGAUGGGUAACUGGUCUGAGAGGAUGAUCAGUCACACUGGAACUGAGACACGGUCCAGACUCCUACGGGAGGCAGCAGUGGGGAAUCUUGCACAAUGGGCGAAAGCCUGAUGCAGCAACGCCGCGUGGGUGAAGAAGGUUUUCGGAUUGUAAAGUCCUUUCGGCUGGGAAGAAGGGUGUCACGACUAAUACUCAUGGCAUUUGACGGUACCAGAAGAAGAAGCACCGGCUAAUUUCGUGCCAGCAGCCGCGGUAAUACGUAGGCAGCAAGCGUUGUUCGGAGUUACUGGGCGUAAAGGGUGCGUAGGCGGUCCUAUAAGUAUGGUGUGAAAUCUCCCGGCUUAACUGGGAGGGUGCGCUAUAGACUGUGGGACUAGAGUGUGGGAGAGGAAAGUGGAAUUCCUGGUGUAGCGGUGAAAUGCGUAGAUAUCAGGAGGAACAUUGGUGGUGUAAACGGCUUUCUGGACCAUAACUGACGCUGAGGCACGAAAGCGUGGGUAGCAAACAGGAUUAGAUACCCUGGUAGUCCACGCCCUAAACGAUGCAUAUUUGGUGUGGGUCAUUCAGUUGAUCCGUGCCGGAGCUAACGCGUUAAAUAUGCCGCCUGGGGAGUACAGUCGCAAGGCUGAAACUCAAAGGAAUUGACGGGGGCCCGCACAAGCGGUGGAGCAUGUGGUUUAAUUCGACGCAACGCGAAGAACCUUACCUGGGCUCGAAAUGCUAUGGACCAGCUGGUGAAAGCCGGCCUUCCCGCAAGGGACCGUAGUAUAGGUGCUGCAUGGCUGUCGUCAGCUCGUGUCGUGAGAUGUUGGGUUAAGUCCCGCAACGAGCGCAACCCUUGUCCUGUGUUGCCAUACCGAAAGGUGGAACUCGCAGGAGACCGCCAGGGAUAACCUGGAGGAAGGUGGGGAUGACGUCAAGUCCUCAUGGCCUUUAUGUCCAGGGCUACACACGUGCUACAAUGGACGGUACAAAGGGUUGCCAACCCGCGAGGGGGAGCCAAUCCCAAAAAACCGUUCUCAGUUCGGAUUGCAGGCUGCAACUUGCCUGCAUGAAGCUGGAAUCGCUAGUAAUGGUGGAUUAGAAUGCCACCGUGAAUACGUUCCCGGGCCUUGUACACACCGCCCGUCACAUCACGAAAGUGGGUUGUACUAGAAGUUCGCACGCUAACCCGCAAGGGAGGCGGCGGCCCAAGGUAUGACUCAUGAUUGGGGUGAAGUCGUAACAAGGUA